Molecule: ribosomal RNA, 1392 nt
Filed under: Escherichia coli
Lineage: Bacteria; Pseudomonadati; Pseudomonadota; Gammaproteobacteria; Enterobacterales; Enterobacteriaceae
Description: partial 23S ribosomal RNA
Rfam family: Bacterial large subunit ribosomal RNA
Source: RNAcentral
GUGAUUCGUCACACUAUCAUUAACUGAAUCCAUAGGUUAAUGAGGCGAACCGGGGGAACUGAAACAUCUAAGUACCCCGAGGAAAAGAAAUCAACCGAGAUUCCCCCAGUAGCGGCGAGCGAACGGGGAGCAGCCCAGAGCCUGAAUCAGUGUGUGUGUUAGUGGAAGCGUCUGGAAAGGCGCGCGAUACAGGGUGACAGCCCCGUACACAAAAAUGCACAUGCUGUGAGCUCGAUGAGUAGGGCGGGACACGUGGUAUCCUGUCUGAAUAUGGGGGGACCAUCCUCCAAGGCUAAAUACUCCUGACUGACCGAUAGUGAACCAGUACCGUGAGGGAAAGGCGAAAAGAACCCCGGCGAGGGGAGUGAAAAAGAACCUGAAACCGUGUACGUACAAGCAGUGGGAGCACGCUUAGGCGUGUGACUGCGUACCUUUUGUAUAAUGGGUCAGCGACUUAUAUUCUGUAGCAAGGUUAACCGAAUAGGGGAGCCGAAGGGAAACCGAGUCUUAACUGGGCGUUAAGUUGCAGGGUAUAGACCCGAAACCCGGUGAUCUAGCCAUGGGCAGGUUGAAGGUUGGGUAACACUAACUGGAGGACCGAACCGACUAAUGUUGAAAAAUUAGCGGAUGACUUGUGGCUGGGGGUGAAAGGCCAAUCAAACCGGGAGAUAGCUGGUUCUCCCCGAAAGCUAUUUAGGUAGCGCCUCGUGAAUUCAUCUCCGGGGGUAGAGCACUGUUUCGGCAAGGGGGUCAUCCCGACUUACCAACCCGAUGCAAACUGCGAAUACCGGAGAAUGUUAUCACGGGAGACACACGGCGGGUGCUAACGUCCGUCGUGAAGAGGGAAACAACCCAGACCGCCAGCUAAGGUCCCAAAGUCAUGGUUAAGUGGGAAACGAUGUGGGAAGGCCCAGACAGCCAGGAUGUUGGCUUAGAAGCAGCCAUCAUUUAAAGAAAGCGUAAUAGCUCACUGGUCGAGUCGGCCUGCGCGGAAGAUGUAACGGGGCUAAACCAUGCACCGAAGCUGCGGCAGCGACGCUUAUGCGUUGUUGGGUAGGGGAGCGUUCUGUAAGCCUGUGAAGGUGUGCUGUGAGGCAUGCUGGAGGUAUCAGAAGUGCGAAUGCUGACAUAAGUAACGAUAAAGCGGGUGAAAAGCCCGCUCGCCGGAAGACCAAGGGUUCCUGUCCAACGUUAAUCGGGGCAGGGUGAGUCGACCCCUAAGGCGAGGCCGAAAGGCGUAGUCGAUGGGAAACAGGUUAAUAUUCCUGUACUUGGUGUUACUGCGAAGGGGGGACGGAGAAGGCUAUGUUGGCCGGGCGACGGUUGUCCCGGUUUAAGCGUGUAGGCUGGUUUUCCAGGCAAAUCCGGAAAAUCAAGGCUGAGGCGUGAUGA